AGGGUGGAUUGUCCCCUCUGGGUUAAUGGAGAGUUACUGCCUCAAGUGAAAUUCAAAUAUCUCGGGGUCUUGCUCUCUGGCUAUACUCAAAU
Molecule: long non-coding RNA, 92 nt
Organism: Thalassophryne amazonica
Lineage: Eukaryota; Metazoa; Chordata; Actinopteri; Batrachoidiformes; Batrachoididae
Exons: 4
Source: RefSeq, a predicted model, not a curated record